UACGUAGGGUGCGAGCGUUAAUCGGAAUUACUGGGCGUAAAGCGUGCGCAGGCGGUUCGUUAAGUUCGUUGUGAAAGCCCCGGGCUCAACCUGGGAACUGCAAUGGAAACUGGCGGGCUUGAGUGUGGCAGAGGGGGGUGGAAUUCCGCGUGUAGCAGUGAAAUGCGUAGAGAUGCGGAGGAACACCGAUGGCGAAGGCAAUCCCCUGGGCCUGUACUGACGCUCAUGCACGAAAGCGUGGGGAGCAAACAGG
Molecule: ribosomal RNA, 253 nt
Filed under: uncultured bacterium
Lineage: Bacteria
Description: partial 16S ribosomal RNA
Rfam family: Bacterial small subunit ribosomal RNA
Source: RNAcentral